AGUAAAUGUAAAUGUAUAAUUUUUUGUUAAUUUAAUUUUAAACAAGAUAUUUUUAUUAUAAGUUACCGUUCAUAAUAUGUCAACAGACGUUCUAGAUGCACUCCAUGGUUUCGACAAAAUGCCCGAAUCAACAAAAAUCCACUGUUUAUAUCUCUGGCAGGCAAUAACGGAAGAGACAAGAGGAGUCUUAAAGCUUUAAACGCAUUGUCAUUGUUAUUGACAUGGUAUAGGUACUUGAUUAUGGUGAAAAAAACACCCAACAGUACGAGAUUCUGGAAAUGCCGAAAUCAGUGCAUCCCUCAGUGCUGUUUCAUAAUCUGUAAUUAUGGUUUCUGGAGCUAAAUUUGGCAAUAGAUUAUUUCUAAUAAAUCGUAUUACACAAUCAUACGAAUUCCUCGACUUGCUUUACAUUAAAACAUAUACUAUGUGCAUAUGAAAAUAAAACAAUAUCUUACAUGGUUCUGAAUCAUACAAUGUAUUGUCAACAACUGAUAUCCCAUAUUCACUGGGACCACUUUAAAUGUUGCAUCAGCAUGUAUUUCAGUGACAACAUUCCUAAGUACAUGCUGAAUUAAGUUGGUGCAUACAAAAACAACAUUACUCCUGCCAUCAGCAUCACGUACACAUCCUCUAAAGAAUGGAGCAUCACAACAUCCAAAUCGAUUUAGUUGUUGAUUUUCAAAUAAUGUAGCUAAGUCGGAUAACGAAUUUGGCAGUCUUGGCAUUGUACUUCUUCUGGUAAAUCGCAUAAUCGAUUCAGCAGUAGAAAAUGGAUAUAACUCUGCUGCUACCACAUGCCUGUAUUAAUUAUUAUUAAAUAUCAAUAAAUUACCUACAGUAUAAAAAAUUAUUUGAAGACUUUUAAACAAAUACUUUACAGCACUGUAAAUACUACAUCAUUCCAAAUUACUCUACCUAUUGUGAUAAUCAGUAGCCAAUUUAAGGAGAGGGGU
Aphis gossypii (cotton aphid) is the source of this 953-nucleotide long non-coding RNA. RefSeq lists it as uncharacterized. NCBI's taxonomy places the organism in Eukaryota, Metazoa, Arthropoda, Insecta, Hemiptera, Aphididae. The record is from RefSeq and is a predicted model, not a curated record. The transcript is spliced from 3 exons.